GGUUAAGCAGAAUAAGCGUGUUUGGUGGAUGCCUUGGCAUUCAGAGGCGAUGAAGGACGUGCUAAUCUGCGAUAAGCGUCGGUAAGCUGAUAUGAAGCGUUAUAAUCCGAUGAUUUCCGAAUGGGGAAACCCGAUGUUCAAAACAUCAUUAUUAAUUGAAUUAAUAGAUUAAUAAAGCAAACCAAGGGAACUGAAACAUCUAAGUACCUUGAGGAAAAGAAAUCAAUUGAGAUUCCCUGAGUAGUGGCGAGCGAAAUGGGAAAAGCCUAGAAUUAUAAAGGAAUAAAAAUAUAGUAGAAUAAUUUGGAAAAAUUAACGAUACAAGGUGAUAGUCCUGUAUAUGAAAUAUUUUUGUUCUGGAAUUCAAAAAGUAGAACGGGACACGAGAAAUCUUGUUUGAAGAUAGGGGGACCAUCCUCUAAGGCUAAAUACUCCUGAAUGACCGAUAGUGAACUAGUACCGUAAGGGAAAGGCGAAAAGAACCCCGGUUAGGGGAGUGAAAUAGAUCCUGAAACCAAAUACGUACAAUCAGUAGGAGCUUUUAAAUAUUUGAAAAGUGACUGCGUACCUUUUGUAUAAUGGGUCAGCGACUUGUAUUUUGUAGCAAGGUUAACUUAUUUUAGGGAGCCGUAGGGAAACCGAGUCUUAAAUGGGCGAUUUAUUUUUAUAGUUGCAAGAUACAGACCCGAAACCCGGUGAUCUAUCCAUGAGCAGGUUGAAGGUUGGGUAAAACCAACUGGAGGACCGAACCGACUGAUGUUGAAAAAUCAGCGGAUGACUUGUGGUUAGGGGUGAAAGGCCAAUCAAACCGGGAGAUAGCUGGUUCUCCCCGAAAGCUAUUUAGGUAGCGCCUCGUGAACUCAUCUUCGGGGGUAGAGCACUGUUUUGACUAGGGGGCCAUCCCGGCCUACCAAAUCAACGCAAACUCCGAAUACCGAAGAAUGUUAUCACGGGAGACACACAGCGGGUGCUAACGUUCGUUGUGGAAAGGGAAACAACCCAGACCGUCAGCUAAGGUCCCUAAAUCAUAAUUAAGUGGGAAACGAUGUGGGAAGGCAUAAACAGCCAGGAUGUUGGCUUAGAAGCAGCCAUCAUUUAAAGAAAGCGUAAUAGCUCACUGGUCUAGUCGGCCUGCGCGGAAGAUAUAACGGGGCUAAAUUAUGUACCGAAGCUACGGCAAUAAAGAUUUUUUUUAUUGGGUAGGGGAGCGUUCUGUAAGCCUGUGAAGAUGUUUUGUAAAAAACAUUGGAGGUAUCAGAAGUGCGAAUGCUGACAUGAGUAACGAUAAAGCAGGUAAAAAACCUGCUCGCCGAAAAACCAAGGGUUCCUGUCCAACGUUAAUCGAGGCAGGGUAAGUCGACCCCUAAGGUGAGGCCGAUAGGCGUAGUCGAUGGGAAACUAGUUAAUAUUCUAGUACUUAUUUUUACUGCGAAGGGGGGACGGAGAAGGUUAGGUUAUCCGGGUGUUGGUAGUCUCGGUUUAAGUAUGUAGGAUGGAAAGUUAGGAAAAUCCGAUUUUCUAUAUAAAAUCUAAGAUACGAAUACGAAUUAUGUAAAUAAUGAAGUAACUAAUACCACGCUUCCAAGAAAAUCCUCUAAGCUUAUAGGUAAAAAUAAAUCGUACCCGAAACCGACACAGGUGGUUAGGUAGAGUAUACUAAGGCGCUUGAGAGAACCUGGAUGAAGGAACUAGGCAAAAUAGUGCCGUAACUUCGGGAGAAGGCACGCUAACAUAUAAGUGUAAAAAUUUACUUUUGAAGCUUAAGUUAGUCGCAGAUACCAGCUGGCUGCAACUGUUUAUUAAAAACACAGCACUGUGCAAACACGAAAGUGGACGUAUACGGUGUGACGCCUGCCCGGUGCCGGAAGGUUAAUUGAUGAAGUUAAGGGAAACCUAAAGCUUUUGAGUGAAGCCCCGGUAAACGGCGGCCGUAACUAUAACGGUCCUAAGGUAGCGAAAUUCCUUGUCGGGUAAGUUCCGACCUGCACGAAUGGCGUAAUGAUGGCCAGGCUGUCUCCAUCCAGGACUCAGUGAAAUUGAAUUUGCUGUGAAGAUGCAGUGUACCCGCGGCAAGACGGAAAGACCCCGUGAACCUUUACUAUAGCUUGACAUUGAGAAUUGAUUUUUAUUGUGUAGGAUAGGUGGGAGACAUAGAAAUUAGUGCGCUAGUAUUAAUGGAGUCAACCUUGAAAUACCACCCUAUAAACAUUGAUUUUCUAACCUUAUAUCGUUAUCCGAUAUAGAGACAGUGUCUGGUGGGUAGUUUGACUGGGGCGGUCUCCUCCCAAAGAGUAACGGAGGAGCACAAAGAUUGGCUAAUUACGGUUGGACAUCGUAAGGUUAGUGCAAAGGCAUAAGCCAGUUUAACUGCGAGCGUGAUAAUGCGAGCAGAUGCGAAAGCAGGUCUUAGUGAUCCGGUGGUUUCUGUAUGGAAAGGCCAUCGCUCAACAAAUAAAAGGUACUCCGGGGAUAACAGGCUUAUACCGCCCAAGAGUUCAUAUCGACGGCGGUGUUUGGCACCUCGAUGUCGGCUCAUCACAUCCUGGGGCUGAAGCAGGUCCCAAGGGUAUGGCUGUUCGCCAUUUAAAGUGGUACGCGAGCUGGGUUUAGAACGUCGUGAGACAGUUCGGUCCCUAUCUGCCGUGGGCGUAGGAAAAUUGAGAGGGGCUACUUCUAGUACGAGAGGACCGAAGUGGACGUAUCUCUGGUGUUCGGGUUGUCAUGCCAAUGGCAUUGCCCGGUAGCUAAAUACGGAAGAGAUAAGUGCUGAAAGCAUCUAAACACGAAACUUGCCUCAAGAUUAGUUUUCCCUGUUAAAUAUAUUUAAAAAUUAUAUUUACUGAAGGGACGUUGGAGACUACGACGUAGAUAGGCUAGGUGUGUAAGCAUAGCAAUAUGUUCAGCUAACUAGUACUAAUGACCCAAUAGGCUUGACCUU
RNAcentral lists this ribosomal RNA (2938 nucleotides) under Buchnera aphidicola (Cinara piceae). RNAcentral's name for it is "23S ribosomal RNA". It matches the Rfam family "Bacterial large subunit ribosomal RNA". The record is from RNAcentral. Lineage: Bacteria; Pseudomonadati; Pseudomonadota; Gammaproteobacteria; Enterobacterales; Erwiniaceae.